This 726-nucleotide ribosomal RNA is filed under the name Microbacterium arborescens. RNAcentral's name for it is "bacterial SSU rRNA". It matches the Rfam family "Bacterial small subunit ribosomal RNA", at positions 82 to 821 of the family's 1533-position model. Lineage: Bacteria; Bacillati; Actinomycetota; Actinomycetes; Micrococcales; Microbacteriaceae. The record is from RNAcentral.
GCUCUGUGGAUCAGUGGCGAACGGGUGAGUAACACGUGAGCAAUCUGCCCCUGACUCUGGGAUAAGCGCUGGAAACGGCGUCUAAUACCGGAUACGAGCUGCGACCGCAUGGUCAGUAGCUGGAAAGAAUUUCGGUCAGGGAUGAGCUCGCGGCCUAUCAGCUUGUUGGUGAGGUAAUGGCUCACCAAGGCGUCGACGGGUAGCCGGCCUGAGAGGGUGACCGGCCACACUGGGACUGAGACACGGCCCAGACUCCUACGGGAGGCAGCAGUGGGGAAUAUUGCACAAUGGGCGCAAGCCUGAUGCAGCAACGCCGCGUGAGGGAUGACGGCCUUCGGGUUGUAAACCUCUUUUAGCAGGGAAGAAGCGAAAGUGACGGUACCUGCAGAAAAAGCGCCGGCUAACUACGUGCCAGCAGCCGCGGUAAUACGUAGGGCGCAAGCGUUAUCCGGAAUUAUUGGGCGUAAAGAGCUCGUAGGCGGUCUGUCGCGUCUGCUGUGAAAACCCGAGGCUCAAGCUCGGGCCUGCAGUGGGUACGGGCAGACUAGAGUGCGGUAGGGGAGAUUGGAAUUCCUGGUGUAGCGGUGGAAUGCGCAGAUAUCAGGAGGAACACCGAUGGCGAAGGCAGAUCUCUGGGCCGUAACUGACGCUGAGGAGCGAAAGGGUGGGGAGCAAACAGGCUUAGAUACCCUGGUAGUCCACCCCGUAAACGUUGGGGAACUAGUU